UGGGGAAUAUUGGACAAUGGGCGCAAGCCUGAUCCAGCCAUGCCGCGUGUGUGAAGAAGGCCUUCGGGUUGUAAAGCACUUUCAGCGAGGAGGAAGGGAGUUGUGUUAAUAGCACAGCUUCUUGACGUUACUCGCAGAAGAAGCACCGGCUAACUCUGUGCCAGCAGCCGCGGUAAUACAGAGGGUGCAAGCGUUAAUCGGAAUUACUGGGCGUAAAGCGCACGUAGGCGGUUUUUAAGUCAGAUGUGAAAGCCCCGGGCUCAACCUGGGAAUUGCAUUUGAAACUGGAAAACUAGAGUGUGUGAGAGGGGGGUAGAAUUCCAAGUGUAGCGGUGAAAUGCGUAGAGAUUUGGAGGAAUACCAGUGGCGAAGGCGGCCCCCUGGCACAACACUGACGCUCAGGUGCGAAAGCGUGGGGAGCAAACAGGAUUAGAUACCCAGGUAGUCCCUGAGCGGGCUGGCAAGGCGCAU
RNAcentral lists this ribosomal RNA (471 nucleotides) under uncultured bacterium. RNAcentral's name for it is "bacterial SSU rRNA". It matches the Rfam family "Bacterial small subunit ribosomal RNA", at positions 355 to 825 of the family's 1533-position model. The record is from RNAcentral.